Molecule: non-coding RNA, 72 nt
Organism: Phrynosoma platyrhinos (Desert horned lizard)
Lineage: Eukaryota; Metazoa; Chordata; Lepidosauria; Squamata; Phrynosomatidae
Source: the annotation of a GenBank genome assembly
GCUGGUGUAGUUUAGUGGUUUGAAUGUUGGACUAUGACUCUGGACACCAGGGUUAAAUUCCUGGCUCUGCCA